GCGGCGGACGGGUGAGUAACGCGUGGGUAACCUACCCCAAAGUCCGGGAUAACAGCGGGAAACCGCUGCUAAUACCGGAUGCCUUUACCUUGGGGCAUCUUGAGGUAAAGAAAGGCAACGCUUUGGGAUGGGCCCGCGUCCCAUUAGCUAGUUGGUGAGGUAACGGCUCACCAAGGCGACGAUGGGUAGCCGGCCUGAGAGGGUGGACGGCCACACUGGGACUGAGACACGGCCCAGACUCCUACGGGAGGCAGCAGUAGGGAAUAUUGCGCAAUGGACGGAAGUCUGACGCAGCGACGCCGCGUGAGCGAUGAAGGUCUUCGGAUCGUAAAGCUCUGUCCUUGGGGAAGAAGGCGAAAGCUUGACGGUACCCAAGAAGAAAGCCCCGGCUAACUACGUGCCAGCAGCCGCGGUAAUACGUAGGGGGCGAGCGUUGUCCGGAAUUACUGGGCGUAAAGGGUGCGUAGGCGGCCCUUUAAGUCGGAUGUGAAAGCCCGCG
RNAcentral lists this ribosomal RNA (499 nucleotides) under uncultured bacterium. RNAcentral describes it as "bacterial SSU rRNA". It matches the Rfam family "Bacterial small subunit ribosomal RNA", at positions 95 to 606 of the family's 1533-position model. The record is from RNAcentral.